Molecule: ribosomal RNA, 253 nt
Filed under: uncultured bacterium
Lineage: Bacteria
Description: partial 16S ribosomal RNA
Rfam family: Bacterial small subunit ribosomal RNA
Source: RNAcentral
UACGAAGGGGGCUAGCGUUGCUCGGAAUCACUGGGCGUAAAGGGUGCGUAGGCGGGUUUUUAAGUCAGGGGUGAAAUCCUGGAGCUCAACUCCAGAACUGCCUUUGAUACUGAAGAUCUUGAGUUCGGGAGAGGUGAGUGGAACUGCGAGUGUAGAGGUGAAAUUCGUAGAUAUUCGCAAGAACACCAGUGGCGGAGGCGGCUCACUGGCCCGAUACUGACGCUGAGGCACGAAAGCGUGGGGAGCAAACAGG